AGCCCCGUAGUGUAGUGGCCAAACCUCACUUGCGUUCGGAUGACCGGACGUAAGCGUCGCGGUCAAUCAUCCAAGGCCCUGGACCUUGGGACCUCGGUUCGAAUCCGGGCGGGGCUA
This 117-nucleotide transfer RNA is filed under the name Candidatus Woesearchaeota archaeon. Its description in RNAcentral is "tRNA-Gln". It matches the Rfam family "tRNA". Rfam says of the family: Transfer RNA (tRNA) molecules are approximately 80 nucleotides in length. Lineage: Archaea; Nanobdellati; Candidatus Woesearchaeota. The record is from RNAcentral.